Molecule: ribosomal RNA, 271 nt
Filed under: uncultured bacterium
Lineage: Bacteria
Description: partial 16S ribosomal RNA
Rfam family: Bacterial small subunit ribosomal RNA
Source: RNAcentral
ACGUGCCAGCAGCCGCGGUAAUACGAAGGGUGCGAGCGUUAAUCGGAAUUACUGGGCGUAAAGCGUGCGCAGGCGGUUUGUUAAGACUGGUGUGAAAUCCCCGGGCUCAACCUGGGAACGGCGUUGGAGACUGGCAGGCUAGAGUGUGGCAGAGGGUGGUGGAAUUCCCGGUGUAGCGGUGAAAUGCGUAAAGAUCGGGAGGAACACCGAUGGCGAAGGCGGCCCCCUGGGCCUGUACUGACGCUGAUGCACGAAAGCGUGGGGAGCAAAC